RNAcentral lists this ribosomal RNA (316 nucleotides) under uncultured fungus. RNAcentral's name for it is "SSU rRNA". It matches the Rfam family "Eukaryotic small subunit ribosomal RNA", at positions 1382 to 1701 of the family's 1831-position model. The record is from RNAcentral. Lineage: Eukaryota; Fungi.
CGCUAUUGCUUUGGCAGUACGCUGGCUUCUUAGAGGGACUAUCGGCUCAAGCCGAUGGAAGUUUGAGGCAAUACAGGGCUGUGAUGCCCUUAGAUGUUCUGGGCCGCACGCCCGCUACACUGACGGAGCCAGCGAGUACUCCCUUGGCCGGAAGGUCCGGGUAAUCUUGUUAAACUCCGUCGUGCUGGGGAUAGAGCAUUGCAAUUAUUGCUCUUCAACGAGGAAUCCCUAGUAAGCGCAAGUCAUCAGCUUGCGUUGAUUACGUCCCUGCCCUUUGUACACACCGCCCGUCGCUACUACCGAUUGAAUGGCUAAC